Molecule: ribosomal RNA, 85 nt
Filed under: Escherichia coli
Lineage: Bacteria; Pseudomonadati; Pseudomonadota; Gammaproteobacteria; Enterobacterales; Enterobacteriaceae
Also listed under: 7 other names
Source: RNAcentral
CCUGGCGGCCUUAGCGCGGUGGUCCCACCUGACCCCAUGCCGAACUCAGAAGUGAAACGCCGUAGCGCCGAUGGUAGUGUGGGGU